This 609-nucleotide ribosomal RNA is filed under the name uncultured bacterium. RNAcentral's name for it is "bacterial SSU rRNA". It matches the Rfam family "Bacterial small subunit ribosomal RNA", at positions 338 to 956 of the family's 1533-position model. The record is from RNAcentral.
CCUACGGGAGGCAGCAGUGAGGAAUAUUGGACAAUGGGCGCAAGCCUGAUCCAGCCAUGCCGCGUGCAGGAUGACGGUCCUAUGGAUUGUAAACUGCUUUUAUACGAGAAGAAACACCCCUACGUGUAGGGACUUGACGGUAUCGUAAGAAUAAGGAUCGGCUAACUCCGUGCCAGCAGCCGCGGUAAUACGGAGGAUCCAAGCGUUAUCCGGAAUCAUUGGGUUUAAAGGGUCCGUAGGCGGUUUAGUAAGUCAGUGGUGAAAUCUCCCCGCUCAACGGGGAAACGGCCAUUGAUACUGCUAGACUUGAAUUAUUAGGAAGUAACUAGAAUAUGUAGUGUAGCGGUGAAAUGCUUAGAGAUUACAUGGAAUACCAAUUGCGAAGGCAGGUUACUACUAAUGGAUUGACGCUGAUGGACGAAAGCGUGGGUAGCGAACAGGAUUAGAUACCCUGGUAGUCCACGCCGUAAACGAUGGAUACUAGCUGUUGGGUGCAAACUCAGUGGCUAAGCGAAAGUGAUAAGUAUCCACCUGGGGAUACGUUCGCAAGAAUGAAACUCAAAGAUAGUAGACGNGAGAGAGCGACGACGACGACGACGGAGGAGGAGG